This 505-nucleotide ribosomal RNA is filed under the name uncultured bacterium. RNAcentral describes it as "partial 16S ribosomal RNA". It matches the Rfam family "Bacterial small subunit ribosomal RNA", at positions 28 to 507 of the family's 1533-position model. The record is from RNAcentral.
GACGAACGCUGGCGGCGUGCCUAAUACAUGCAGGUAGAACGCACAGUUUAUACCGUAGCUUGCUACACCAUAAACUGUGAGUUGCGAACGGGUGAGUAACGCGUAGGUAACCUGCCUGGUAGCGGGGGAUAACUAUUGGAAACGAUAGCUAAUACCGCAUAAUAUUAAUUAUUGCAUGAUAAUUGAUUGAAAGAUGCAAUUGCAUCACUACCAGAUGGACCUGCGUUGUAUUAGCUAGUAGGUGAGGUAACGGCUCACCUAGGCGACGAUACAUAGCCGACCUGAGAGGGUGAUCGGCCACACUGGGACUGAGACACGGCCCAGACUCCUACGGGAGGCAGCAGUAGGGAAUCUUCGGCAAUGGACGAAAGUCUGACCGAGCAACGCCGCGUGAGUGAAGAAGGUUUUCGGAUCGUAAAGCUCUGUUGUAAGAGAAGAACGGGUGUGAGAGUGGAAAGUUCACACUGUGACGGUAUCUUACCAGAAAGGGACGGCUAACUACGUG